GAUGAACGCUGGCGGCAUGCCUUACACAUGCAAGUCGAACGGCAGCACGGGGGCAACCCUGGUGGCGAGUGGCGAACGGGUGAGUAAUACAUCGGAACGUGCCCUGAAGUGGGGGAUAACGUAGCGAAAGUUACGCUAAUACCGCAUAUUCUGUGAGCAGGAAAGCAGGGGAUCGCAAGACCUUGUGCUUUAGGAGCGGCCGAUGUCGGAUUAGCUAGUUGGUGAGGUAAAGGCUCACCAAGGCGACGAUCCGUAGCGGGUCUGAGAGGAUGAUCCGCCACACUGGGACUGAGACACGGCCCAGACUCCUACGGGAGGCAGCAGUGGGGAAUUUUGGACAAUGGGCGCAAGCCUGAUCCAGCCAUGCCGCGUGAGUGAAGAAGGCCUC
This 388-nucleotide ribosomal RNA is filed under the name uncultured bacterium. RNAcentral's name for it is "bacterial SSU rRNA". It matches the Rfam family "Bacterial small subunit ribosomal RNA", at positions 28 to 418 of the family's 1533-position model. The record is from RNAcentral.